UCAUGCCUUUGCUUGCCACCCAGCUUAGCCUCUUAUCUCAGCUUCUGAAACAUUCUUCAGUCUUCUGAAGGUGGCAGCUGUUAAUACAGAACUUGAUGAGGAAGAUGCCAGCAUCUCACCUGGAAUUCACAAAACCCUAGCCAGCCCUAACUCACAAGGGCCUGCACACCCUUUAAUCCAGCAAAAUUAACUCAAGAGCAUGUGGGACCUGAAAUCCAGUCUCUGCAUAUUAUUGCAAGUGCUUCAAGCAAAGAAAAGAACCUGAUUUCACAUUUGAGAUGCAUUUUAAACCAAAGGUCUGUUCUGGUACCUCCACAAGGAAGCAUCAAUCGGACCACAGAAAAUUUACAUCCAGGGAUUUGUCUUCUGGAAUGGAUCUCACUGACCUACAAGAAUUGAAUUUGCCCGUGUCUUCACAACACCUUGUUAGUGGUAUCAAAUCAGGAGAUUGAAGUGAGCCAUAGUGAGAGUAUGGACACCACAGAAAUCAACUUACAUAUCAAGGCUUUUUCUUUAUGGGAUAGAAGAGUCUAUGAAGUACAGAAAAGAGGAAAGAUCUGCAAACAAUUCGGUAUCUUCUUUUAACUUGAAACUCAUUCUACCCACUGCUACAGCUAGUCAGAUUUGAAACAAUGCAAGGAGGGAAGGAGACAGAGAGAGGGAGCAGGAGCAAGAAGGAGAGAGAGGGAGAGAGAGACACACACAGAGGCAGAGAGAGACAGAGAAC
RNAcentral lists this long non-coding RNA (727 nucleotides) under Homo sapiens (human). Its description in RNAcentral is "HSALNT0052531". Lineage: Eukaryota; Metazoa; Chordata; Mammalia; Primates; Hominidae. The record is from RNAcentral.